UGGAACCGAAGGAGUAAGGUGUUGCUGAGCAGAGAAGCCCUGGCUGGAGGUGGACCCUGAACUCAGCGAGGUGCCCAGCCCAGUUGCACGGCCAGGUUGUAACACCGCAGUGCAGACCCAGCGGGCUCCCUGAACCUCUCCCACCCCUCUGUCCGGAGGCAGCGCCACUCCAGAAGGCCAGUGUCUUCCUGGCUCUGCUUUUCUCAUUUGGCUGCAUGUGAAGACGUACAGGUGACCAACAGACACGAAGAGAGGCUCAGCAUCCCUAACCAUCAGAGAGACGCAAGUCAAGACCGCGAGAUAUCAUCUCACACCUGCGAACAGCUGUUAUCAGAAAGACAGCAAACAGCAAGGUGAGCAAGUGGAGAGAAGGGAGCCCGCGCUGUUC
Molecule: long non-coding RNA, 388 nt
Organism: Capra hircus (goat)
Lineage: Eukaryota; Metazoa; Chordata; Mammalia; Artiodactyla; Bovidae
Exons: 3
Source: RefSeq, a predicted model, not a curated record